RNAcentral lists this unclassified non-coding RNA (318 nucleotides) under uncultured Ophiostomataceae. RNAcentral's name for it is "sequence contains ITS1". The stretch from base 1 to 106 matches the Rfam family "5.8S ribosomal RNA", at positions 50 to 154 of the family's 154-position model. Lineage: Eukaryota; Fungi; Ascomycota; Sordariomycetes; Ophiostomatales. The record is from RNAcentral.
CAAAUGCGAUAAGCAAUGCGAAUUGCAGAAUUCCGCGAGUCAUCAGAUCUUUGAACGCAAGUGGCGCUGGGAUAACCAAUACCCCAGCAUGUUUGUUUCAGUGUAUUAGGAAUCAUAAAGCUUAAUGCGGUUGAAGGUGCCUUAAAAACACUUUCUCCCGUUGAAUGCGAAAGCGCUGUAGUGAAUCUCCGGCUUAGCCAACCGAGAUCACUUGCGAGAAGUGACUACUUCAGUCGGCACCGAACGAUUCAGCGCUUUUUAAAUUAUAAUUUCUCCAUUCAAUACCUGAAAUCAAGCAAGAUCACCCACUGAACUUAA